AGCGAACGCUGGCGGCAGGCCUAACACAUGCAAGUCGAACGAACCCUUCGGGCUUAGUGGCGGACGGGUGUGUAACACGUGGGACCGUCCCUUUUGGUUCUGAAUAACGCAGAGAAAUUUGCGCUCAUACCGAAUGAGCCCUUGGGGGGAAAGAUUUAUCGCCGAAAGAUCGGCCCGCGUUGGAUUAGGUAGUUGGUGUGGUAAAGGCGCACCAAGCCUACGAUCCAUAGCUGGUCUGAGAGGAUGAUCAGCCACACUGGGACUGAGACACGGCCCAGACUCCUACGGGAGGCAGCAGUGGGGAAUCUUGCGCAAUGGGCGAAAGCCUGACGCAGCCAUGCCGCGUGAAUGAUGAAGGUCUUAGGAUUGUAAAAUUCUUUUACCAGGGACGAUAAUGACGGUACCUGGAGAAAAAGCCCCGGCUAACUUCGUGCCAGCAGCCGCGGUAA
Molecule: ribosomal RNA, 449 nt
Filed under: uncultured bacterium
Lineage: Bacteria
Description: partial 16S ribosomal RNA
Rfam family: Bacterial small subunit ribosomal RNA
Source: RNAcentral